Molecule: transfer RNA, 72 nt
Filed under: Streptomyces minutiscleroticus
Lineage: Bacteria; Bacillati; Actinomycetota; Actinomycetes; Kitasatosporales; Streptomycetaceae
Description: tRNA-Gly
Source: RNAcentral
ACGGCCUGGGCGGGGUCGCGCAGGUCGAUGCCGACGACCUCCAGGCGGUGGAUCCAGUCCGCCGAGUCGUCC